RNAcentral lists this ribosomal RNA (483 nucleotides) under uncultured bacterium. Its description in RNAcentral is "bacterial SSU rRNA". It matches the Rfam family "Bacterial small subunit ribosomal RNA", at positions 8 to 507 of the family's 1533-position model. The record is from RNAcentral.
AGAGUUUGAUCAUGGCUCAGGACGAACGCUGGCGGCGUGCCUAACACAUGCAAGUCGAACGAGGUCCAUCCUUCGGGAGAAGACCUAGUGGCGAACGGGUGAGUAACACGUGAAGAACCUGCCCCGAAGACCGGGAUAACCCUCCGAAAGGAGAGCUAAUACCGGAUACCCCCACCGAACCGCAUGGUUUGGUGAGGAAAUGGAUUCCGCUUCGGGAGGGCUUCGCGGCCUAUCAGCUAGUUGGUGGGGGUAAACGGCCCACCAAGGCAUCGACGGGUAGCUGGUCUGAGAGGACGAUCAGCCACACUGGGACUGAGACACGGCCCAGACUCCUACGGGAGGCAGCAGUGGGGAAUCUUGCGCAAUGGGCGAAAGCCUGACGCAGCAACGCCGCGUGGGGAUGAAGGCUCACGGGUUGUAAACCCCUUUCAGCAGGGACGAAUCAAGACGGUACCUGCAGAAGAAGCCCCGGCUAACUACGUG